UCACAACUGUCUCCUAACAGGGGGCUGAGUUUUCUCGAGAAGGCAGAGCUGUGCUCUAGAGAAGAUGAGAGUGCUGGGUCUCCUCCUGUGCCUGGUGACAGCCCCCCUGGGUGUCCUGUCCCAGGUGCAGCUGCAGGAGUCUGGCCCAGGACUGGUGAAGCCCUCACAGACCCUCCCCCUCACCUGCUCUGUCUCUGGUUACUCCAUCACCAGUGGUUACUGCUGGGGCUGGAUCCGCCAGCCUCCAGGGAAAGGGCUGGAGUCGAUCGGAUAUAUAUGUAGUAAUGGGAACACUUACUACAGCCCGUCCCUCAAGAGCCGCACCACCAUCUCCAGAGACACAUCCAAGAACCAGUUUUCUCUGCAGCUGAGAUCCGUGACCACCGAGGACACAGCUAUAUAUUACUGUGCAAGAGACACAGUGAGGGGAAGUCAGUGUGGACACUCUCGCAUGCAGCUGCUGCAGCCUUGUGAUCAGCUGAGGAAGCUUGGGGCCUCAGUGCAGGUCUCCUGGAAGCCUUCUGUAUGGAGCUUCACCAGCUAUGCAUUGCUCUGUGUGGGAGAGGCCCAGGAGAUGGACUGCAGUAUGUGA
Non-coding RNA from Phyllostomus discolor (pale spear-nosed bat), 592 nucleotides. NCBI's taxonomy places the organism in Eukaryota, Metazoa, Chordata, Mammalia, Chiroptera, Phyllostomidae. The record is from the annotation of a RefSeq genome assembly.